Molecule: long non-coding RNA, 1553 nt
Organism: Cyprinus carpio carpio
Lineage: Eukaryota; Metazoa; Chordata; Actinopteri; Cypriniformes; Cyprinidae
Source: Ensembl
CUGGGUUUCACUGAUUAGAUUUGUUUUGCUUUUUUGGAUCCAAACCACAAUUGCAUUUCAGGUAAUAUUUAUAUUGUAUUUAUAUUGCAUAUACUCAUAAUAAAUACGGAAGCUGGUUUAAAAUCAAUCUGCCUUUGAUGAGCUCAUAAACUCUUUUGAUUUCUGUCUUUAUUGGGUUUUAAACAAAGAUUACAGAAGAUUACAAAAAUAAUUACAGACACUUUUUAGUAAUGUGUCUUUUUUUAAAGGUAUUUAAGAAGGAACUGUUGACCCUCUCUGAAAAGCUUCCUCUUUCUUUGUUAAAGUGGUGUAGUUUCCUGGUGUGUCAGUAGAGCUGCUGUCUGUCUGUCAGUGAACACGCUGCAUGAGACUCUGUCUGACUCUCUUCUGCUGGGAUUGGACUCUUCUGGAAACUGGACUUCAGAGAAAUGAUGCUGAUCUUUGGACUGAUGCUGCUGCUGCAAACUGCUGCAUGUCUGGAUAGUUUCUGCUGGUUUGAUCAGUCUGAACCCUGUUACGCAGCUCUGGGAAAUAACCUCAAUCUGCCGAUGGAGCGGGACGCUCAAGAAUAUGAGCUGAAGAUAAUAAAGAGAAUAAACAACAACACACAAGAUGAUCCAGUUUGUAGAGUAAAAUAUGGCAGGAUAAGGAUGAGGGAAUGUGAUCUUUAUAAUAACAGACCUGAAGUGACAGUCAUUAAUGGCUUUCUGAUAAUAAACCGUGUGAUCAGAGCAGAUUCUGGGAAUUACAGAUUAACAGUCUCUCGUUCAGGCGGCACAGAAACAUCUAGAGAUCUUCAAGUGAUUGUUGAAGCUCCUAUUGGCUCAGUGGAAGUGUCAAUCAUCUGCUCCUCCAGUGGGGUGAUGAGGGUGUUCUGCUCCUCUGAGGGGGAUCAGCUCCUCUACAGCUGGACUCUGAAUGGAGAUCCACUGAUGGAUGGAAACAGCAGCAUUGAUCUGGAUGAGAGAACUGAUGGAGACAUCAGCUGCAGCGUGAAGAACCACGUCAGUCAAGCACAGAAGAACAUUAGACUCAAACCCUGUCCCGGACCAACUACUGCAGCUGUGACCUCUAGUUUGACCUCUACGUCGACACAGACAUCAGAAUAUGCUCUGGAACACAAACUCAAUCUGCUGAUGGAGCGGGACGCUCGAGAAUAUGACCUGAAGAUAAUAAAGAGAAUAAACAACACACAAGAUGAUCCAAUUUGUAGAGUAAAAUAUGGCAGGAAAAAGGAAUGUGAUCUUUAUAAUAACAGAAUUGAAGUGAAUAUCAUUAAUGCGACUGUGAUAAUAAACCGUGUGAUCAGAGAAGAUUCUGGGAAUUACAGAUUACUACUCUUUCACUCAGACGGCACAGAAACAUCUAGAGAUCUUCAAGUGAUUGUUGAAGCUCCUAUUGGCUCAGUGGAAGUGUCAAUCAUCUGCUCCUCCAGUGGGGUGAUGAGGGUGUCCUGCUCCUCUGAGGGGGAUCAGCUCCUCUACAGCUGGACUCUGAAUGGAGAUCCACUGAUGGAUGGAAACAGCAGCAUUGAUCUGGAUGAGGGGAACUGA